CCUACGGGAGGCAGCAGUGAGGAAUAUUGGUCAAUGGGCGCGAGCCUGAACCAGCCAAGUAGCGUGAAGGAUGACUGCCCUACGGGUUGUAAACUUCUUUUAUAAAGGAAUAAAGUGAGGCACGUGUGCCUUUUUGUAUGUACUUUAUGAAUAAGGAUCGGCUAACUCCGUGCCAGCCGCCGCGGUAAUACGGAGGAUCCGAGCGUUAUCCGGAUUUAUUGGGUUGAAAGGGAGCGUAGAUGGGUUGUUAAGUCGGUUGUGAAAGUUUGCGGGUCAACCGUAAAAUUGCAAUUGAUACUGGCAGCCUUGAGUGCAGUUGAGGUAGGCGGAAUUCGUGGUGUAGCGGUGAAAUGCUUAGAUAUCACGAAGAACUCCGAUUGCGAAGGCAGCCUACUAAACUGCAACUGACAUUGAUGCUCGAAAGUGUGGGUAUCAAACAGGAUUAGAUACCCUUGUAGUC
RNAcentral lists this ribosomal RNA (460 nucleotides) under uncultured bacterium. RNAcentral's name for it is "partial 16S ribosomal RNA". It matches the Rfam family "Bacterial small subunit ribosomal RNA", at positions 338 to 795 of the family's 1533-position model. The record is from RNAcentral.